This 495-nucleotide ribosomal RNA is filed under the name uncultured bacterium. RNAcentral's name for it is "partial 16S ribosomal RNA". It matches the Rfam family "Bacterial small subunit ribosomal RNA", at positions 30 to 507 of the family's 1533-position model. The record is from RNAcentral.
UGAACGCUGGCGGCGUGCCUAAUACAUGCAAGUCGAGCGAACAGACGAGGAGCUUGCUCCUCUGACGUUAGCGGCGGACGGGUGAGUAACACGUGGAUAACCUACCUAUAAGACUGGGAUAACUUCGGGAAACCGGAGCUAAUACCGGAUAAUAUAUUGAACCGCAUGGUUCAAUAGUGAAAGACGGUUUUGCUGUCACUUAAAGAUGGAUCCGCGCCGCAUUAGCUAGUUGGUAAGGUAACGGCUUACCAAGGCAACGAUGCGUAGCCGACCUGAGAGGGUGAUCGGCCACACUGGAACUGAGACACGGUCCAGACUCCUACGGGAGGCAGCAGUAGGGAAUCUUCCGCAAUGGGCGAAAGCCUGACGGAGCAACGCCGCGUGAGUGAUGAAGGUCUUCGGAUCGUAAAACUCUGUUAUUAGGGAAGAACAAAUGUGUAAGUAACUAUGCACGUCUUGACGGUACCUAAUCAGAAAGCCACGGCUAACUACGUG